GAAGUGUUGAGUGCCCAGCCUAUGCUGAUAUUUUAAUCAAUUUUUUUUUCUUCUUGUUUACGGCAUUAUUAGCCAUAGGGUUUUCUGGAAGGGCGGGGGAAGAAAAGGGUAGAAUUCAGAGAAUGAACCUUAAUUUUAUAUUUUAGUAUAGAUGGCGACAUUUGGAAAUGAUUUUUCCACAAAAUUGCACACAAAAGUUGUCCACAAAAAUUCCAUUCAACAAGUAGUUUCCCUGAAGAGUAGCUUCCCUGGUAACAGCUCUAACCAUUUCAUGUUACGUUGCUCCCUCAGGAAAAUGUUUUCUGCAUUUUAACUGCAAUCACCAGGGCCUUAGCUCCCCUUGGAAUAUGAGGGUUCCCUCUUGCAGCAGCCAAGGUUCUGUGCAGUGGGGUGGAGUGGGCUGUGGGCGGGGGCAGAGGGAGAGGGGAAGAUCAGGCUCAGGUGGCCCAGAACUCUCUGCAGCUGUGCCAGAGAAGGCACCUUCUUGUUAUUCUGGUGUGGUUUUCAUAAAAAGCCCUAGAAGGAAUGAAGUGACAUGGGAACAAAUCCCUACAAGCAAAGCUAGGCUGGGUAUAGAUGACUAAUCAUAUUACUCAUCUUAGAAUCAAGUUAUUCCGAAAGAAGGUAUAUUUUAAAUUUAUAUUAAAAGAAUUUUACAAAGAUAUGUUGGAAAGGUGUAGCAAUGGGGGCAGGUAGGUUGAGCAGAUUAACAGGGUUUCCGCAUGCACACUGGAAGCAAAAGACUAGACAUCAGAGGCCCGUAGGUAGCCAUCUUUAUUUUCUGGGAACCAUAAAGACCCCAGCAGUAUGGACCAAGGGCAUUAGGGGAGAAAACACUGGACUCAGUAUAGCACGGAGUAUUCUUGGCCAUCCCAUUUGGAUGGUAUGCACUGCUCAGGGGAAACUGUAGUCUUGGGGCUACUGGUAUAUAUGGGGGGCUUUGAUGGGUAACCAGCUUGCUGUGUGUUUGUCAGGGAAUGUCUUAGUAUUGGUGCCAAAAGACCCUAAUCCUGGGAAACUCCACAAGCCUGCCUGGGCAAGCCAGGAUGGCUGGCCCCACAAGCUCUCCAAGGGGCAGGGAAUUUGUGCUGCAUGAAGGAGGCUGGUGCAGAUACUGCUCACCAGCGACACAGGAACCCAGCCUGGGCAAUUGCCCUCAAGCAAGAAAAAGGGAGAAAUUACAAAAUCAAAACUUGGCGAUCUUGAUGUUCCAAAAAUUUCCAAAGGUCUUUGGUCAGUAAAGCAACAACCAAUUGUCAGCUCAAAGGCAUAAAACUGGAAGACUAGAACAUACUGAUAUAUUCAUUUCUAGUUCUGACAAAUAACUUCCUCGGCAAUUUUUUUUCACAAAUCAAUUUCCAAAUAUUUUUCUAUGUUUUAAAAAUUAUAUGCUGGAUAUCUCCAUCUUUUAGAAAAGUUCUCCCUAUGUGAGACAUAUUUAUUUGUUAAUAUAUUUACUACUUCCUCUGAAAUGCUAUAACUCUUUUGUUUCCUCAUUCUGAUAGCUUCAUUUUAGUCAUUUUGUUAUGAAAUAAAAUCUGGAAGAAAAAAGACAUCGUCUCGCCACACCACACAGGUGAAGACAGUCCUCAUCAGUCCCAAUCCUGAUGUCUGGAAUUGGGGAGCCCAUGGGCUCAAGGCGGGUGUUCCUUGCUACACAUUUAUGGAUAUAAACCAGAGUCGUUCUGUAGAGGUCUGGAACUGCAGGAAGAUUAGAAUCUUCUGCUCCCAGGCUACUGAGGCCCAGAGAGGGGAACUGACUUGCACAAGGUCUCCCAGCAAUUAGGGUUAGAGAACUAACCUGUCCCUUGUUGGGAAUGAACCCUCUGGGUUUAGAGGCUCCUAGCCCAGGACAAACCAAUCUGUGUUGGAUAAAGGGAAUGGAGAGCAGAGAAGGGCCGAGUCUGAGAAUCGGGUUGAUUAGGAAGCAGGCUGGUCUGACGUUGACUACGUAGGGAGGGCUGCCAUGGCUGGUACCACCUCUUACCUGUUCCUGAGGGCAGGGUAACCUCCCGUGGGAAGAGCUGGGUCUCUCUCUCUCUACACUCUGUCUAGCACAACAAACAGGUUGAACCAGUAACAUCUCCCAGAAGAGCAUGAAAGGUUGCCACGUGGCCUGAGCCUGCAGAGGCAUUCUCCGCAGGGCCACACGGUGGUUCUGCGCACAGUUAAGUUGUUCAGUUUUCAUCUCUCACCAUCUUCCCCUCCUCAUCACCUCCACCUGGGGCUGCGUGGAUUCUGUUCAGCGACCCAGCCUCACUGUGGUGGCAGAGGCCAGAAACAUACCCACACCAUACAGUGUGAUGUGUGUGAGAAGGGAUGGCCAGGGGACACAGCAAGGUGAAAUGUCUGUCCAAAGUGCAUGAGAGCAGUCUGCAGCAAGGAUGGCAGGAGGCAUGACAGUAAGGUCAUCCCGCUCACUGCAGUAGGUCUCCUCUUUAACCAUACACACACGCACACAAUUUUCUGUAUGUUUCCUUAGCACCCAGAAGUUAUUUACUUUCAAAAUGAUCAGUCUUUUUACUGAAGCUUACUGGCUUUCCAACUAGUCCUAAAUUGUGAGGCUUUACUGAAGUACUUGAGCAUGUGAAGUGAACUGAGGAGGAAAAUGGCUUUGCUGGCAGAGUUUGAGAUGCAAUGAGUACAAGCCAUUUGCCUAUGAAGAGGCUGUUUCCUCCCUCUCUCAGGGGGGACAAGUAGCCAGUCUGUGGUGACAUCUGUUGUCUAGAUGCACAGCUUUUAGAUGCCUAAAAAAGAUGCUUUGGGUGCAGGGGUGGAAAGACUUGGUUGUGCCUUAGUUUUCUUAUCUUAGUCAUUCCUGUUAACCUUAGAAAAAAGGUGAAAAACUUACUGAAAGAUAAGAAACAAUAAGACACAAUUGUACAUUAUUAGGGAUCCUAUGCUUGGUAGAAUUUUUGCAAUGUAAAUAAAUUACAUCUCAAGUUCUGAUCCUUUUCAGCAGAAAUUCUUUCCUCUCCCAAGUCUAGUCACUGAGAAGCAAAGUGCCGUUGCCUUUUAUUUCUUCAAUGCUUCUUUUUGGUGCCUGAAUGCACACCAAGGAAGAGCUCCCCUCCAGAGCUUCACUGCAUCAUGGACUUGUGCAGGGGCCAGCCAGAGUGUUUCUCAAAAUCUUUUAAGUCUCUGAAUUAUAAACAGAGCUAAAUGGGACCUUGGAGAUCAUCUUGUCCAGCCCCCUCCUAGAGAAGGAGACUGAAGCUCAGAGUGGUUAAGUGACUUGCCCAAGGUCAACAGGAUGCUGUGUUAUUAUUAUUAUGAUUAUUUUUGCAUCAGGACUUGUGGGAUCUGUAGUAACUAUUCUCUUGGCCAAUUAUAAUCACAUCACUGGCAUUGUUUUACGAGAAAUAGCCCCGCUAGGCCCAGUCAGCAAUAAGUCUUUGGAGCUGUCUCAGCCUGCAGUUGCUUUAUAUAAACUAUCCCUUUUAUGGGAGUUGAAGCACUGUAUGAAAAGGGUUUUUGUCUCAUGUUGACCUUGUUUAGUCACAUUAACGCACACAUCAGUUCCAGGCCCCAUUCCAUUCUCUGAACAUCUUCUGACACACUGACAGUGCUGAGCAAAGCAAGGUUGGGUUCGCUCCUCUGGCAGAACCUCGGCUCUCAGGAGGUCCUUGUUCCAGGGAACAGCUGCUUCUCUGGGGCUGGGCUCUACUCCCUGCAGCCCCUCGCACUACCCAGCUGGAACCAGGGACAACGCCUGAGUCCAACCCUCGUGUCUAUUUUCCAGAAAACGGGCAAUGCUGUGAGAGCCAUUGGAAGACUGUCCUCUAUGGCAAUGAUCUCAGGGCUCAGUGGCAGGAAAUCCUCAACAGGGUCACCAACCAGCCCGCUCAAUGCAGAAAAACUAGAAUCUGAAGAAGAUGUGUCCCAAGCUUUCCUUGAGGCUGUUGCUGAGGAAAAGCCUCAUGUAAAACCCUAUUUCUCUAAGACCAUUCGCGAUUUAGAAGUUGUGGAGGGAAGUGCUGCUAGAUUUGACUGCAAGAUUGAAGGUAAGUUGUAGCUGUGCUUCUCUUCACCAUGAAUAGGGUGUGGCUGGAUGGUAGAGUCCCUACCAUGCACCCUGGGCAAGAAGUCAGUUCUGUGCAGCUGGGGACAAUGAGGAACCGCCAAGCUUUGGGGGAAACUGGGUCAGCAGGAGCUGCUCAUAAAGGGCUAUGCCCUGCACUCCCACCUCCUGAAGGUGUGUCCUUCAGUCACUUCCCCAGGGGGCACAUUUGAAAUUUCACCUACUUACACCAGCCACUAGACCUAAGUUUAGAAAUGGCCUUGCAUGGACUCACCUGGCUUUGGAACAUGCUUAGUGAAAUGAGCUUUGCAAACUGCUGAAAAGCAUGUGACUUGCCCAUACGAGGCCCUCAAAGGAAGGCUGGCACAAAGGCAUAGGAUGUGGAAUCGGCAGGCUCUGCUACUCGUCCACAGGCUGUGUGACCUUGGAUGGUGGUCCAACUCCCCUGAGUUACGGUCCCUCUGCUGUAAGAUGAUAGCUAAGUCAUGGAGUGGCUCUGGGGAUUCUGUGAGGGGACAUAUGUGAGAAGGGGGAACCUUUUAGAUCUUGUAAAGAUGUCACAGAGCAAAGGGAAAAGUUGUGGGACUGGCAGGUACAGAGAGAGUGCAUGCAUUGUGACUUCAGACUGAGGCCAGUUGGGAGCCAGGCACCCGGGACAAAGCACUCAGCCGGCACCAUCUUCCCCAGGCUGCUUAUCUGCCUGCUGGGAAUAAUGCAGCCACAGACCUGUCAGUGGUCAGAGCUCAAGGGACCUUAAGGGGUCAUGGCAUAGCACCUGAGAAAUGAGCAAAGUUGAUGACACAAAGCGUUUCCAUUUUCAUAUAGAUUGCAACCGUCUAGAAAGAGAAGGGACAAGAUAAGACAGGCUCUUUGCUUCAAGUCUGUGACUUUCACCUGCCAACCAGGGUGGUGGGUUAUCGCCCAUUUUGGUCUGACCAAAUAAAGCACAGAAGUUUAUUAGGCAACUUUCCCAAGGCCGCAUAGCACAGUACAGCAGUCAGAACAAACUGUGCCUCUCACUUUCUUUGAUUCUCCAGCAAUGUGACUAGACAAUGCCUUUUGAGUAAAAUAACCCAAAGUUAGGAAUGGAAAAAAUAGUUUUUCUUCUGCAUCUUUAUAUUAUCAAAGUGCCUUAUCAAUGCUUCGUCUACCAUAGUCAUUUUCCUUUCCUCACUCAAUUAAAAGAAAGUGGAUGUGCUGCCUUUGAUAAUGUGAAAAUUCUCGGACUGGGGAUUCUGCUGAACGCUCUGGAGCCACUGCUUGCAAUUCUCACCAUUACCAUUGCAUUUGGGUCUUCUGAAGUUUCUUUUCCUUUUUGAAUGUUUUAAAAUAACAUAAUGAUUAUCAUUUUGUACUUGAUUUUCUCUUUGGGAUUGUUUCAUACUUAAUUUUCUCUUUGGAAUUGUUUCAUUGAUAUUUAUGUAACUUUUGCCUGGGGCUCUGAUGAGAAAUUAAAGCAUAUGGAUGCUGUUAUGAUAAAAACAAAAUUGAAACUUUUGCACUGAGAGUGCAGGGCAUGGGAGUGGAGGGUACUUUAUGACCAGCUCUUCCUGACCCAAUUUUCCUCAUGGUCUGGGUGUUCCUAAUUACUUCAAAAAAACAAUUUCUAAAAUUAUUUUGAAAAAACAACAUUGAAAAGAACAUUAGAAUUCUUGAUUUCUUAUGUAUAAUUUUUAUUCUGGUUAGGGCUCAUAUUAGCCUGUUUGCAUUGCUAUAAAGGAAUACCUGAGGCUGGAAAAUUUAUAAAGAAAAGAAGCUUAUUUGGCUUGGUGCCAGUAUCUGCAUCCAGUGAGGCCUCAGGAUGCUUUUAAUCAUAGCAGAAGCAGGCAUGUCACAUGGCAAGUGAGAGAGCGAGAGAGAAGGACGUGCCACGUUUUAACAACCAGAUCCGCAUGAACUGACAGAGCAAUAACUCACCCAUUACCUCGGGAAGGGCACCAAGACAUUCAUGAGGGAUCGGCCUCCAUGACCCAAACACCUCCCACCAGGCCCCACCUCCAACACUGGGGAUCACAUUUCAACAUGAGAUUCAAGGGGCACAAAUAUCCAAACCGUAUCAGGGCUACAAUUUUUUUCCUAUAAAAAUACUUCACCAACAUUUAAGAGAAAGUCAGGUGGAAUAUAUUGUGUAUUUUUAAAGGUAUGUGUAUAUAUAUGACUUUAAAAGCGGGGUACAUGUAUAUACUAUGUACCUGCAAACAAAAUGCAUAAUGUUGGUAAUGCUUCUGUACAAUAUAUAUGUACACAUACACAUUAAAUACAUAUAAUAUAUA
This 6294-nucleotide small RNA is filed under the name Pan troglodytes (chimpanzee). Its description in RNAcentral is "retained intron". Lineage: Eukaryota; Metazoa; Chordata; Mammalia; Primates; Hominidae. The record is from RNAcentral.